This 224-nucleotide long non-coding RNA is filed under the name Elaeis guineensis (African oil palm). RNAcentral's name for it is "long non-coding RNA (EGUI_LNC042530)". The record is from RNAcentral. Lineage: Eukaryota; Viridiplantae; Streptophyta; Magnoliopsida; Arecales; Arecaceae.
AAUCUGAUGUUGGAACCUCCAUUUUUGGACCCUUGGAUAAUCAUGAGUCACUGAUCCAGGGUGGAGAAAAAUGGGUGCUCCUAUUGAAGCUUCACGACCUCUCAAAAAUCACCGAUGAAUUAAUUUCAAAGAGUUCUUUUGCAUGAAGUGACUCUUGAAAAUAAUUUUAAUAUUUUUAUGUGUCGUAGAUGCUUGGACCAACGUGAAAAGCUUGGACUGGUGUG